GUCACCUUGGGGGUGGGCUUUGAGGUAUCCUAUGCUUAAGCUACAACCAAUGAGACAGUUCAUUUCCUGUUUCCUGCCCAUCAAGAUGUAGAACUCUCAGAUCCAGCACUGUGUCUGCCUGUAUUCCACCAUGUCCCACCAUGAUGAUAAUGGACUAAACCUCUGAAAGUUGUCCUGAGUACCUUCCAUGGCAGCCAGUCAGCAUUUUAAGGAGCCCCCUCUGGCAACUGCAAACCUCAGGGCUUGUCUGCGGUUCACUGCCUGUGUUGAAAGAGGAAAAGUUACUGCCCUCGUCCAGACAGUGACUUUGAAGAAGAAGCGAGGCAUUGUGUGUGUGAUUCAGCCCAGUGUGUGCUUGCCUUCCACAGUCAGACUUUCUUAUCACAUCAUCUGAGAUCACCAAAGACCUUGGAAAAUUUGAACCAGCUCCUACAUGCCUCUUGUACUGUAGCUGAUGAGCAAAACCCUUGAAUCUGUUAUCUCAGUGAAUAUCAUUUGAAUACCCCUGCCCUGUCAAGGAAUUUCUGUAAGGAGAUAUGCCAUAAAGUGAGAUGUAAUUUUAAUCUGUUACCGUAAAUUACCAGCGAAGGGGCCCGCCAUGUUUGCGAAGGCAGAUGAAACUUUAGACAUGUAAUGUUGGUGUUUUUUCAUAGACUUUACAAUGUGGCAACUGGCUUUGCUUUUUGGAGUACAUAAAGACUGUGACUCUCUUAGCACACUAGGCAAGUUCUUCACAGAACUAUUACCUCAAAAUAUGGGAUUCAAUUAAGAUUUUUAACAAUUUCACACAAAACUUGGUUUUGAAAAGUGAUGGGUCUAAGUUGUCCCCAAAAGGUAGUAACCCCCCAACCCCUCCCACUCUUAAACAAAGCACUCAUCCUUGCUGCUUUCGCUAUCUGAGACGACAAUGAUUCUCUCCUCAGAGGGCCCACCCCAUGAACACAAGAAGGGAGGCUGUUUUUUCAGAUUGUUUGGGCAAUAAUAAUAACAACACUCUGUUAUAAAGAAGAAAUGCAAGCUGAAACACGGUUCUCUUCACCAGCAAUAGUCUGAUCUUAGAAAGUGUCUGUGGCAUGUGGACUGUAAGCUUCAAUAGGGAAAGGACUAACUCACUUUGUUUUGGGUAAUUGCAUGUUGUACCUUUUAUUCUUCUGUUUAAAUUAAAAAUAAAGAAGAAAAGGGGCGCAAGAACACAAGACAAAGAGACAUAUUAACCAGAUUAUUAUAAGCCCGACAGAGUAGGAAGACUAAAGGAGAAGAGAAACAGGGUUAAUGGCUGACCACCAUGGCCGGUCGCCAUAGAGAGGCAACGAGAGCAUAGGUGGGAGAAGACAAGAGCAGAGCAGAGAAUAGAGGGGAAAGUAGAGAGAGGAGAGAGAGAGAGAGAGAGAGAGAGAGAGAGAGAGAGAGAGAGAGAGA
RNAcentral lists this long non-coding RNA (1419 nucleotides) under Cricetulus griseus (Chinese hamster). Its description in RNAcentral is "lncRNA (ENSCGRG00015030423.1)". The record is from RNAcentral. Lineage: Eukaryota; Metazoa; Chordata; Mammalia; Rodentia; Cricetidae.